GCUCAGUUGGUUAAACGUCUGACUCUUGAUUUCAGCUCAGGUCAUGAUCUCAGGGUUGUAGGAUUGAGCCCUAUAUUGAGCA
RNAcentral lists this transfer RNA (82 nucleotides) under Canis lupus familiaris (dog). It matches the Rfam family "tRNA". From Rfam's summary of the family: Transfer RNA (tRNA) molecules are approximately 80 nucleotides in length. Their secondary structure includes four short double-helical elements and three loops (D, anti-codon, and T loops). Further hydrogen bonds mediate the characteristic L-shaped molecular structure. tRNAs have two regions of fundamental functional importance: the anti-codon, which is responsible for specific mRNA codon recognition, and the 3' end, to which the tRNAs corresponding amino acid is attached (by aminoacyl-tRNA synthetases). tRNAs cope with the degeneracy of the genetic code in two manners: having more than one tRNA (with a specific anti-codon) for a particular amino acid; and 'wobble' base-pairing, i.e. permitting non-standard base-pairing at the 3rd anti-codon position. The record is from Rfam by way of RNAcentral. Lineage: Eukaryota; Metazoa; Chordata; Mammalia; Carnivora; Canidae.